Colossoma macropomum (tambaqui) is the source of this 1046-nucleotide long non-coding RNA. RefSeq lists it as uncharacterized. The record is from RefSeq and is a predicted model, not a curated record. The transcript has 3 exons. NCBI's taxonomy places the organism in Eukaryota, Metazoa, Chordata, Actinopteri, Characiformes, Serrasalmidae.
CCAGCGCUACAGAAAAAAGGUCUGGACGUCUUUCUGCUGGAGUUUACAGUAAACAGUUAUCAGAGGUUUUACGUUUUUAGAUUCGUUUCUGUAAAUUAAGGUUUAUUUAAUUCAGCUCUGCGUCCGCAGUCACGCCGAGCUCUCGAAGACGCGGAUUCCCCUGAGCAGCUUCGGCCAUCUCACCACAGAAGCGAAGUUUGUUCUGACAACUUAUGGUGUCCUGACUCUCGCUGCAGCUGCCUUCAUGGCCCUAAAUGGAUCUGCACCCUCUUAAAUCACAGAGGUACUCCAGCUGUACUCUUCUUACAGCCCCUAAGGGGCUUCAGGGUUUUUGCAUUGUCACAACUGAAGCUCGAAGGCCGCCAGGCUUUUGCACCGAGGUUAUAUAACGGCCUACCACCAGAAAAUGAGAAGACCUUUGAUGAAGAUGCUGAACUUUAAGCUGGCUGAAUUACAUCAAGCUCUUUCGUGCAUGUAAAGAACUUCACAGGUGGCACAUGUGGUCUCUGCUGCGGAAGUGAUCACGCUCCACCCUUGUACUUUCAGGACACUCACAUGGGAAUUGCUUUUUUUUUCUUUUUUUUUUACAUGCAAUUUCACAAAAACCACAUGUGAAGUAAACAUUAGCAUGUGCUACCGUGCAGUCAGUGGAUGUUUCACUAAUGUUUUCUUUUCAUUCAUGUCAUUUCUCCUGUGUUUCAUGAUGAGCGUCACUGGGGCCGCUGAGAUCAUUCUGAAAGUGAAGCUUCGUUGAACUUAUCGAGUCUGCCUGCAGUUUCCAAGGUUCCAGUAUUACCAAAGAAUGUAGAAGUACCAUAUAUAGGGGGUUCCUCUUUUUUCUUUCUUUUUCGUUGAGUCUGUUCCUUACACUCCAUAGAGAUGUAUUGUAAUGGUUCAUGGAAAAGAAAACAGUGCAAUUCUAAAAACUGAUGUUCCAGUAGCAUUUAAAAGAACAUCAAGAAUUUCCUAUAAGACGGCUGGGCCAGACCGACUGAUAACAUGUGAUAACAUCCCAUAAUAUCGCAAUGAUAUCCCAUAAUAUUGAC